RNAcentral lists this transfer RNA (91 nucleotides) under Stagnimonas sp. RNAcentral describes it as "tRNA-Ser". It matches the Rfam family "tRNA". Rfam says of the family: Transfer RNA (tRNA) molecules are approximately 80 nucleotides in length. Their secondary structure includes four short double-helical elements and three loops (D, anti-codon, and T loops). Further hydrogen bonds mediate the characteristic L-shaped molecular structure. tRNAs have two regions of fundamental functional importance: the anti-codon, which is responsible for specific mRNA codon recognition, and the 3' end, to which the tRNAs corresponding amino acid is attached (by aminoacyl-tRNA synthetases). tRNAs cope with the degeneracy of the genetic code in two manners: having more than one tRNA (with a specific anti-codon) for a particular amino acid; and 'wobble' base-pairing, i.e. permitting non-standard base-pairing at the 3rd anti-codon position. The record is from RNAcentral. Lineage: Bacteria; Pseudomonadati; Pseudomonadota; Gammaproteobacteria; Nevskiales; Nevskiaceae.
GGAAGCGUAGCCUCAAUGGUAAGGCCCCCGAUUUGAAAUCGGAGUGAGCAGUUCGCUGCUGUCCGGGUUCGAGUCUCCGGCGCUUCCGCCA